This 1572-nucleotide ribosomal RNA is filed under the name Hyosciurus heinrichi (montane long-nosed squirrel). RNAcentral describes it as "16S ribosomal RNA". It matches the Rfam family "Bacterial large subunit ribosomal RNA", at positions 476 to 2831 of the family's 2925-position model. Lineage: Eukaryota; Metazoa; Chordata; Mammalia; Rodentia; Sciuridae. The record is from RNAcentral.
ACUAGUACUAGCCCACCCAACACUAACUACACACAACAACAUUUAACCANCUCAAACAAAACAUUUACCCCUAUAAAAGUAUAGGAGAUAGAAAUUUUUUAUCGGAGCUAUAGAGCCAGUACCGCAAGGGAAAGAUGAAAGAACCAUCUAUAGUAAAAUAAAGCAAAGACUAAACCUUCUACCUUUUGCAUAAUGAAUUAACCAGAUACAACUUCACAAAAAGAAUUUAAGCUAAGGAUCCCGAAACCAGACGAGCUACUUAUGAGCAGCUAUCAGAGCCAAUCCGUCUAUGUAGCAAAAUAGUGGAAUGACUUAUAAGUAGAGGUGAAAAACCUAUCGAGCCUGGUGAUAGCUGGUUAUCCAGAUAAGAAUUUUAGUUCAACCUUAAAUUUACUCUAAGCACCAAAAAUCUAAACGUAAAUUUAAUUGUUAGUCUAAAGAGGGACAGCUCCUUAGACAUAGGAAAUAACCUUAGUUAGAGAGUAAGCCCAACAACUCCCAUAGUUGGCCUAAAAGCAGCCACCAAUUGAAAAAGCGUUCAAGCUUAACCUUAGAACCCCAACUUAAUCCCAACACUCACAACUACCUCCUAAUCUCACACUGGAUUAAUCUAUAAUUAACUAUAGAAGCAAUAAUGUUAAUAUAAGUAACAAGAAAAACCUUUUCUCCCUGCAUAAGCUUAUAUCAGCCCGAAUAAAUCACUGAUAGUUAACAAACCUAUAGUCUCAGCCUACAGCCUCARCCACUAUUACYUAYAAUGUUAACCCAACACCGGCAUGCACCUAAAGGGAAAGAUUAAAAAAAGUAAAAGGAACUCGGCAAACAUUAACCCCGCCUGUUUACCAAAAACAUCACCUCUAGCAUAGAUAGUAUUAGAGGCACUGCCUGCCCAGUGACAUACGUUAAACGGCCGCGGUAUCCUAACCGUGCAAAGGUAGCAUAAUCACUUGUUCCUUAAAUAGGGACUUGCAUGAAUGGCCAAACGAGGGUUUAUCUGUCUCUUACUUUUAAUCAGUGAAAUUGACCUUCCCGUGAAGAGGCGGGAAUAAACAAAUAAGACGAGAAGACCCUACGGAGCUUAARUUUAUUARUCCAAGUANNCUAUAAUACUYUACAAGAGAYAAANNNYCYUUACCYAUGGAUUAAAAAYUUUGGUUGGGGUGACCUCGGAGUAUAACUUAGCCUCCGAAUGAUCUUAAUCUAGACCUAACCUGUCCAAAUUUAGAUUCAUAAAUUGACCCAAUAUAUUUGAUCAACGGAACAAGUUACCCUAGGGAUAACAGCGCAAUCCUACCCAAGAGUCCAUAUCGACAGUAGGGUUUACGACCUCGAUGUUGGAUCAGGACAUCCAAAUGGUGCAACCGCUAUUAAAGGUUCGUUUGUUCAACGAUUAAAGUCCUACGUGAUCUGAGUUCAGACCGGAGAAAUCCAGGUCGGUUUCUAUCUAUUAAAUAUUUCUCCCAGUACGAAAGGACAAGAGAAAUAAGGCCAAUUUCUCUAACACGCCUUAUUAUAAUAGAUGAAAUAAUCUUAAUCUAAUCAAUAUUUUCAUCUUACCCUAAAACAGGGUUU